ACGGAAGGCAGCAGUGGGGAAUAUUGCACAAUGGGGGAAACCCUGAUGCAGCGACGCCGCGUGAGUGAUGAAGUAUUUCGGUAUGUAAAGCUCUAUCAGCAGGGAAGAAAAUGACGGUACCUCAUGAAUAAGCCACGGCUAACUACGUGCCAGCAGCCGCGGUAAUACGUAGGUGGCAAGCGUUAUCCGGAUUUACUGGGUGUAAAGGGCGCGUAGGCGGGGAUGCAAGUCAGAUGUGAAAUCCAUGGGCUUAACUCAUGAACUGCAUUUGAAACUGUAUCUCUUGAGUGCUGGAGAGGUAGAUGGAAUUCCUUGUGUAGCGGUGAAAUGCGUAGAUAUAAGGAAGAACACCAGUGGCGAAGGCGAUCUACUGGACAGUAACUGACGCUGAGGCGCGAAAGCGUGGGGAGCAAACAGGAUUAGAUACCCUGGUA
The sequence is a ribosomal RNA, 434 nucleotides long. It matches the Rfam family "Bacterial small subunit ribosomal RNA", at positions 341 to 792 of the family's 1533-position model.